Molecule: transfer RNA, 74 nt
Filed under: Enterobacteriaceae endosymbiont of Plateumaris sericea
Lineage: Bacteria; Pseudomonadati; Pseudomonadota; Gammaproteobacteria; Enterobacterales; Enterobacteriaceae
Description: tRNA-Trp
Rfam family: tRNA
About the family: Transfer RNA (tRNA) molecules are approximately 80 nucleotides in length. Their secondary structure includes four short double-helical elements and three loops (D, anti-codon, and T loops).
Source: RNAcentral
AGGGGUGUAGUUCAAACUGGUAGAGCAUCGGUCUCCAAAACCGAUAGUUGGGGGUUCAAAUCCCUCCACCCCUG